Long non-coding RNA from Oncorhynchus keta (chum salmon), 885 nucleotides. RefSeq lists it as uncharacterized. The transcript is spliced from 3 exons. The record is from RefSeq and is a predicted model, not a curated record. Lineage: Eukaryota; Metazoa; Chordata; Actinopteri; Salmoniformes; Salmonidae.
AGGUCUUGCCAGAGUGGGCUUCAAGGGUUUUGAGAGCAGCGUGGAUGGACCAUUGACUCUUCUUGUGAAAGUGUGUUUCCGGCGUCCUGGAACGCACCCUGUCUGGUUGCCGGGCAAUGUAGCCAGUUGGGAGUUCUGAUUACCCGCACCUGUAUCCCAUCAGCUAUCUGCACACCUGGUCCUGAUCAUCAUCUCUCCUCUUCAUAAGCCCGGACCUGACAUCCAUUCCCUGCCGGAUCGUUAGCCAUGAACAGUAUGUUGUGCCAUAGUAUCAGCCUCAAGUUGGAUAGAAUUUGUUUUGUUGUUUUUUACGUAUUGCUUGCCUUAAACUUACCUCCGUUUGUUCUGUCUUCAGUUACUCACCCGGGUCAUUUACCCCAUUCCCGCCUGGUCAUCGGAGGAUUCCGCUACCCCAUUGGAUCCACCUAUUUACUCCCAUCAACUCACCACCGCUGCCCGCUACGCCACCUGGAUAUAUCUACCCAUUCACAUUCACUUGUAAAUAAAUACUCACCUUCUUCCUACUCUCCUUGUCCCGGUCUGCUUCUGGGUUCGAUUUUGAAAGAACGUGACAACUGGAAUACCUGCUCACCUAGAGUAUCACAGACUCUAAUGUCCCACUACUGGAUUACCUGCUCACCUAGAGUAUCAAAGACUCUAAUGUCCCAUUACUGGAGUACCUGCUCACCGUACAGAGUAUCACAGACUCUAAUGUUCCUCUACUGGAGUACCUGCUCACCGUACAGAGUAUCACAGACUCUAAUGUCCCACUACUGUAGUACCUGUACCUCUUUUAGAAUAUUGAUGACCACCAGCAACUAAAUACAAGGAGUUCCGCUGCCCAAAAAGGAGUACCAGCUCAUAUUUCAGUCCAGUUGAAGCACG